Olea europaea var. sylvestris is the source of this 587-nucleotide long non-coding RNA. RefSeq lists it as uncharacterized. The transcript is spliced from 2 exons. NCBI's taxonomy places the organism in Eukaryota, Viridiplantae, Streptophyta, Magnoliopsida, Lamiales, Oleaceae. The record is from RefSeq and is a predicted model, not a curated record.
CCCAACUCAAGAGUAAACCCAAAAUCCAAUCCAAUAUAUCUGAACCCUCACCAAUCACACAUUCAAUGGCUGAUUUGUGAGAAUAGACGAUUACAAAGGCACGGUGACUUUGAAUUUUUCUCUCAGCCUCUCAUUGUCUCACUCUCAUCUUUGUGAGCCCUCGAUAUGGUGCCGCCUGCGUCACCUUUCUUUCAUCGAUGCCAUUAAUGGAAGCCAAAUCACAAUUACUUCAGUUUCAAAUUAUACCUCAAUGUCCUCCGUCGUCUCCGUAGGUUGCCACUGCUAUGGAGGCUCAUAAGUUGUGAAGAAAUCAAGUUCAUUUCUUUCCCCACUUAAAUGCCUCAUGGCAGGCACGUUCUGCAAAAGUCCUGCACCUGGUGAACAACCAUUCGUGAAGGUAAUUGAUAUAAAUUUGAUGAUGGGAAAAGAAAAAAAUGAAGGUAGGAACGGAUUUGUAUUUUCAAAGUAGAUGUGUGUAUCAAUUUUUUUUUUUGUAUUUUUUGUAUACAACACAUGCUCAGAAGAAAUUAUUUUGUAAUUGGCUUUACCCCUAUUUAGACUAUUUCAAUGCUUUAUUUAUUCUUUCA